RNAcentral lists this unclassified non-coding RNA (11449 nucleotides) under Lytechinus variegatus (green sea urchin). Its description in RNAcentral is "helicase with zinc finger domain 2-like, transcript variant X4". Lineage: Eukaryota; Metazoa; Echinodermata; Echinoidea; Temnopleuroida; Toxopneustidae. The record is from RNAcentral.
AUGCAUGCAUAGCGCAUGAGAUUUUUUGGGAUAGAGGUCGAAAUUGGAGUGGAACUGUAACCUAAAAUAGAAUACAAAAUGCUUCUAUAUUUAGCAGAAUGGUUGGAUCGAAAAGAAAGCAAAAAGCUAGAAAAGCGAGGUAUUGGCUAAGACUGAAAAAGGGCAACUAUGGAUUGGGAAGGAAUGGAUAGUAUAGUCUGGAUGUGGAGGCAGCAUCAUAACCCAUUUUUAGAGGGGUGUAUUCUCAAUUUCAUCAAGCACCUACACAGCACUGCGUAUGACUUGCUUCAGGAGAUGAACUACAUCAAUUCUGCUCAGUUUUCUGCCAGAGGAAUCCAGCUCUACAAUGUUUUGGAGAAAGAUGGAUAUCUAAGUGAUUGUAGGAACAGGAAUCUUCUCUAUUGUUUACAUGCAGAAGCUUGUAUACAUUACGCUGAUCAAGAUACCUUUGGACUGCAGUUUCUUGACAUAGCUCUUCAGAGCUUAAGGAAAGUUUCUGAUGCCCUGCGUAAUAAGAAAAUCCUCCGACUCAUUGCAAAUUUGAAGAUUGAAUUGAUGAAAUACAGUGAAUCUUCCACCAGUGUUUCGCUUAGCAAAUUGAGGAGAUACAAUUCUGAAUUGUGCAAUCUGGAAAUAGACAAAAUGAAAUUUGUGGCCAGCUUCUUUGGUUUUGAAGAGCCAAGAGAACUUUUUGACAUACUCUGGAGAAUCCUUGGAUCUUCUGAAGAGGGCGCUGUUUCAUUAGUCCAACAACCUGAGAAUAAUGAAGUAGAGCCGGAAUGGAUUCCUAUAGAACAUAUACAGAUUGCCCAAAGACAGUCUUCAAGUAAACCACAUCAUAGUAAAAAGAAGAAGUCCCGCCGCGAUGGGAAAUCUAGACCAGGUCAUGCCUCACCUGAGUCUGUCCCGCAGCCCUCGGGUAAAAACAAGAAAGUUGUUACCAAUCAGAAGGGUCAGAUGUCAUCGGCAUGUACUUCCAGGUCAGGGCGAUUAUCUGGUAAGAAAUCCACUGAACUCUCCGGUGCAAGAAAUAUUGAUAGUCAUCAUGGACCAGCAUCUACCAAUGGCAGUGAGGUGACAUCACAUAGAGCAGGAUCUUUUGGACCUUCUGGAGGAGGGGUUCAUGGAUCAAAUCAAUGUCCUUCUACUGCAGAAGAUUGGAUCAAGAGCUAUAAACUCAGGCUCGCUUGUAAGAAAUGUUUCACCAAGGCAGCUCGCAGCCAUGGCUACAGCAGUUACAAGCUGAAUACAAAUCCAACCCAUUUUCCAAAGUGCACAAGAGACUACUUACUGUGUCAGUUGGCUAGGAAAUGUGAGGAUGGUCAACCAGCUGUGUAUGGUAUCAUACGCUCCUGUUCCAGUGAUGCCAAACCCAACCUCUGUGAAGACUUCCUGAAUAGGGAUCCAUGCAAGGAACUGGAUUGCUGCUAUUGUCACAGCAGGGAAGAACAAGAUAUCUGGAAAGCUGAAAGAGCAGGCAGGUUUCCAAGAGAUGAUGUGAUAGCUCUCUUGAAGUCUCUGGGACAUUGCUAUGAUGGAAAGUCUAACCGUGAGACUAAUACUCCUGCCAGAUCAAGAAGCAAAAGUCUUGCCUCACAAGACCAUAUGGACAUCAGGAGUUGGAGUAACAAUGGUGCAAAACCUCGAAGACAAAGUCAGGUAUCUCAUGAUUAUGGUGAUCCCAAGAUCGGGAGCAAUAGUGAAGUUAGAUCACAAAGUGGAAGUCUGCAGACAUCGCAUGUAGGAAAUUCCUCACUUCUGAAUGAAGAUGCCAAUACACCAUCUCUGCAGGAUGAAGGUGAUAGCAAAGAGAUGUAUGAGGUUGUAUCAACUCCGAUGCCUUUGAAGAAUCAAUUUGAAAUUCUUGUUAGUGAUGCUAACAGUGUCCAACAAAGAAGCAAUUUCAGAGUUUCCUCUCCAUGUUCUAAUCAGAGCAGAAGUGUUGACCGAAGUAACUUAAACAAAUCUGCUGGAUUGCCUGCUUGGCAAACUGCCAUACACGUACCAUCUUGUAUGGGAACAUCCAGUGCUUCUUCUGUUUGCAAUUCUCGUAGGUCAUUGCACAUUGAUGGCAACAACUCACAGACGUUUCCUAACAUUCCUGGACAAUCUAAAGUAAGGUCGGAUGAGGCAUUGCUGAAUGAACUCAAACAGAUUCGGGGAAAGUUCCUUAUAGUCUGUUCACAAUGUCUUGAAUGUAAACCUAUGAAGAUAAGCCCACCGCAUCAGAAUAAUCCUCAAGUCUGCUCCUACAAACAAAACCACUCCAUGAUCAACAGAAGCCUUAUUCAUCAGAUCGGGCAUGGAAGAUUCACCAAGAUUCGUAAGCGUCCUUUCAGGGUGAUGCAUAAGCCUAGGGCUGUGUGUCGUUACAUUGAUAGGCUGUAUGGAUGUGAGAGAGAAGAUUCUUGUCAGUUUGCUCACAGCCAGGCAGAGGCAGAGGUCUGGUGGUUAGAAGCAAGGCUUGGUAAACAUCGGGAUGAGAUUAUUGAUGCUUGCAUAGAACUAAAUCAACCAGCAGAAUACCUACUGUCUGGUUCACCACUGUCCAACCCUAAGGAUCUAAUGAACCCAUACCAAAACACAUGGGACAUCACUACCAAUAGUGACAAAGUAACCAGCAGCAGCAUUCAGAAGGAGCCGCCUCCUGUAUCUCGUGCGAUUGCUGUUGAAUCCUGUAGAACCAAAGUCCCCUUUUCCCAUGCUAUCAAGCGCGCUUGUGGUAGAUGCCUGCGAGUGAAUCCAUCCUCCAUUCAGCAACAAAACCCGAAGAGCCGUUCAUACUGCAGUGGGAGUGGGACUAACCGACACUACUGGAAAGCAAACAUUGUGUAUGUUGUAUGGUCCUCUAAAGACAAGCAAUGGGUUUGUGUCCAUCCCCGCCAUCCACGGCUGUGGCCAAACACCAAACUGAAUCUGUGUCGGUAUGGAAAAAAGUGUACUCAGGAAAGCGUAUUCAGAACAGCCUGCAUGCAUCCUCAUACACAAGAGGAACUUCAGUUGUGGGAGUACCAGAAACGACAUGAUAUCACCAAGCUUGAAGAAGUGGUUGGCUUGCAACAGCAAGCUGAGGCAGUAAGCACACCCAUCCCUAAACCAGAAGAGAAACCACAGCACAUUUGCUCUUUCUGCAAGUUUUCCUCUACGUCAAAGACAGAGUUUGAGAAUCAUCUUGUCACUGAUGCUCAUAAGGCAAAGAUCUUUUCUGAUUCUGAUCGUCUCUGGAAGGAACGAGAUCCCCCGAACCUGGUCCAAGAUGGUUGCUAUGAGAUGUGUAAAGAAAAUGCUACGAAGGAGUGUGAACACUCUGGGAGAACCAAGGAAGAAAAUGAGUGCAUCUAUGCACAUAGCAUGGACGAGUUGAUGGAAUGGAAAGCUAGGCACGAGUACCGUGUGAUGAAACUUAAAAAAGCCAGGGAGAUGAAGUUAUAUUCUUGGUUGGAUAAUCUAGUUGAGGAGAAAGUGUCUACUGAGGAUGUAGAAGAUGUGAUAACAGAGGAUAUAUUUGGGUUGGAAUUGAAUUGCCAAACUGCUGCAGAUGUUGUUCGAGAAUUGACCUCAUCCAAGGAUACUGGUGAAGUUGAUCCAAUCCAAUGGCAUGUGGAUCUCCAUUGUAGCAGUGAAAAAAAACUGAAGAGAGUAGGCCUCCUGUAUGAUGAACAUCGGUCUUACUUCCAUCUAUCUAAGCCUGAGAAUGAGUCUCACCCACAGACAUGUCCUGGUGGACUACUAAGAGUUCAUGAUUCUGAUCAUUACAAGCUUACUGUCAACUUCAUCCCAUCACAUUCUGGCCUUUUCAAGCAGUGGCUUGUCUUUGACUUUGGUGAUCGGCCAUGCCUUGCCUUGAAGCUCUCUGUGAACUUUGGCUCUCAAUGUGAAAUGAAAGAUUUUGAGUUUAAAGAGCAGACAAUCAACACAGCAGAUCUGUGGAAUGAGACCAACAGUAAGAUCAUCAAAUGUUCACAAACAGAUGAAUGGACUAAGAGGUUGGAACAGCAAUAUCCGACACCUGGCCUAAACAGAGAUCCAGCAAUGAUUGGAGAUGUACAAAGUCUUAGCCGGAGUACAUACAAACAAUUCAUGCAUGAUAUGCUUACAGAGGAAGAGAGAGCUUGUAUGGAGUUGGUGGCCAAGUACCGAACAGUUACCAAGAUAAAAGUAUCCCAGCAAGUUCAACUGGAAGAUUCCCUCAUAAGUGCCCCAGUAGGAGAACUGUUUGGGACUAUCUCCCUUGACAAGCCACUUCAUGACGAUUCAGAAACUUCCCGUCUUGUCCACGAGUUGGUUGAGACCGUCUUCAUCAAAUUUCACGAGCAGUCUGAAGAUGUGUACGAGGCUCCAAAGGUUCAGUUUGAGGAGGAUGUCAUUGUGGUAUCCCUAGGUCAAGCAUGUGUGAAGCAGCUUCAUUUGAAGGCUAAUAGAGAUGUUCCAGUGACCUUUCAAUGUUGCAUUAGUCGUCAGCGGUUUUUGCGGAUGCACCAUGCUGUUGACAGAGUGACAUGUAUGGACACUGUGCUACCCCAGGGACAGCAGCCCAAUAGGUUUCCAGAAGUAGAUGAGGAUGACUGCCAUGAGGGUCUGAACCUACGACAAGAGCAGGUGGUUCGUCUUAUCAAGUCAUUAGGAACUGCUGAAAAAGAAGCUACAUCUUACAGCGGUCCAACCAUGAUUCUUGGACCCUUCGGAACAGGAAAGACGCAUACGCUGGCCAAUGCAAUACAGAGAACGCUUACAGAGAGAAAAGAUGCAAAAUUUCUGAUAUGCACUCAUUCAAAUAGUGCUGCUGAUCUUUAUAUCAGAGAAUAUCUUCAUGAGUUUUGUGAAGAUAGAACUGAUAUCUGGAUGGUGAGGAUCUAUACAACGAUGCGGAAACUGAAUACCAUAAGUGAAACAGUGAAGAAGUACAUGCUUAUCAAUGCUGAAGGACCACGUUUGCCCACAGAAGAGGAAUGUCAAGAUUGGGUGUCCAGAAAAGGCCCUAGUAUAGUAGUGGUCACCCUGAGCACAGCAGUUUGCCUUACACUUACAGCAACCCUGCAUGGAUACUUCUCUCACAUUUUGAUAGACGAAGCUGGACAAGCCCUGGAGACGGAAGCUAUCAUUCCGCUUGCUCUAGCAACACAACAUACAAGUGUUGUACUUGCUGGUGAUCCCAAACAGAUGAGCCCAAAGGUGUAUUCUCCCCGUACCGCAGAUGCCAAGUUCAAUAUGUCUCUCCUGCAGCGUCUCUUCAAAUAUGACAAACAGAAUGAUUGUCAUGCAAGCUGUAAUCUGAUCAUCAACUAUCGCAGCUGCCAACCUAUCCUAGAUUUCCUAAAGGUGCACUACGGCACAGCUUUCAUGUCAAAGAGCACAAACAAGGAGCAUCCCAAUCUCUUCCCCCUUAACUUUGUAGAUGUGAGGGGAGAGGAUAGGCUUGUCAGGACGUCAUUCAUGAAUGCAGAAGAGGCAAAGAUCAUAUCAGAAUACGUCAAGUCAUUGAUGGAUCACUGGCCUGAUGAGUGGGGUAGAUGUAAACAGAGUGAUGUAGUGGUUCUAUCACCAUACAGAGUACAGGUGGUAUUAAUCCGACAGGAGAUGAGGAAGAAAGGCCUCCAUGCUGUGACAGUAGAGACAGUGCAGAAUGUACAAGGGAAGCAGUAUCGGGCCGUCUUCUUGAGCACAGUGAGAACAAGGUCCUCAUUGAAUAAGGUUGACAUCACAUCCCUUCCCCGUUUGGGUGGCCGCAAUGUGAGGAACAAGUUCUGGUACGGUUUCUUAUCGGACAAGGGACUACUGAACACAGCAUUCACUCGUGCACAGUCACUCAUAACUGUCAUGGGAGACCCUGUUGCCCUUUGCUCUGCAGGAGAAUGCCAGAAAACUUGGCAGAGAUAUAUCAAAACAUGUGAAAAGAAUGGUGGCAUCCAUAGUCUACAAGAUCUAACAAUGGCUUCUAUCCAGAAUGAAAUUGCUAGUGCCAAACAUCUGCUCAAUCCCGCUGCAAAGACGUUUGUUCCUCAAGCUUCAGCUCCCAGUGGAGCCUCCCAGAGAACAUCUACUGUUACUGGAAGAUCUGCAGUAAGUAGAGCAAUUGAAGUGCAAAGUUGCUUUCCAAGAUCUUCAAAUCAACAAAGAGAAAUGCUACCUUCAUUGGUAACUAGUGCUGCUGUAGAAAGUGAUGAUGAAGAUGAUGAAGAGGAAUUGCUUAUUGAUGAAUGGCUUCAGGAUCUGAAGAUAGAGGUGGAUGAAUAUAAAAGGUCACUUACAUUGACUGAAAACCAGAAGGAAGAUGCAUUAACACAAGGUUCUGAUGAUAGGGAUGCUGCCGGUGACCAAGGACUAACGCAGCCAGCCAUACAUGACCAGGAGCUUGAAGCUGGGGUAAGAUUGCAUACAGCAGAGCAAGAAGAAAGAACUCCAUCUGCAUCAAGAACUGCAUUGCAAAAUGUAGAAAUUCCUACACGUGAACAGCUACUACAGGACCUGCACAGGAUGGAGAGGGAAGACCGUGAUGUCUACCUUGAGGAUGAGUUAUAUGAUUCAGAUGAUGAUGAAUCAAAUCUUGCUGCCACAGGUCAAGCAAGGGAGACCAAUGUCGAUGAACUUCUUCGCAAGAAUGUUAAAAGCCCUGAUAAAUAUAAAAUCUCUAUCUUCCGCCAAGAUAUCAAUGGGCGUACUUAUGCUGUUCCUCUUGACAGACAGUCAGGAGAUGAAAUAGCCAUUACUAGUUUGAAACGUCGUGGACAUGCCCUUAACAAUGAUAAGGUGCUUGUAAAGGUCUUGGAAAACAGAGAAGAACAAGAAGUAGAAACUGAUGGUGAGGGUGGAUCGGAAAGGAAGAUUUAUGGAGAAAUUGAAGGCAUCAUUGAACAUAAAGCUAAUCUCCGGUUCCGAAAAUUUGUCUGCCACCUGGAUCCUUAUAGCGACAAUGUGAUGGUACCUCUUGACCGUUCAUCUCCCAAGAUGCUUAUACAAGGAAGGAAAAGAAACAGUAAAAACAAUAAUGUUGCUGUUGUUCCUCUGUUUGAGAUAACAAGAAGGAGUGCACAAACACGGAAACCAGGUAGCUCUAGAAGAGAUGUAGAAGUGAAGUUAUCAGAAAGGCGCCAGAAAUUAUUUGUUGUUCGCUAUCUGGAGUGGGCUGAGAGAGAUCCAUAUCCACUAGGAGUAGUUGUUGAAGAGUUAGAACCAGGAGAUACACAAGAAAAUGGGAUGAACAUCCUGCGACUCGUGUAUGGCAUCAAAGCAAAAUGCAAGCGAGCUGCAAGAGAUCAAAUGCAGCAAGAGUUCCCUGAAGGAUGGUGUCUUUCAGAGAAAGCUCUUCAGAAAAGGGAGGAUUUCCGUUCAACAAAGGUUAUCUUUACCAUUGAUCCUCCUGAUUCUACAGACUUGGAUGAUGCUAUCAGCUGUAUCCCUCUUCCUGGACAACGUUAUGAAGUUGGUGUACAUAUAGCAGAUGUGUCCUACUUCAUUCAACAAGACAGUCCUAUGGAUAAAGACGCCUACAGCAGGGCUACAUCAUUCUAUCAUCCAUUCCAAGGUGAUGCCUAUCAUAUGCUACCAAAGGCCAUAGUCACUAGGCUUCUAAGCUUACUUCCAAAUCAAGACAGGUUGGCAUUGUCUGUCAUUUUCACUCUUGAUCAUGAAGGACAGAUUGUUGCAGAGCCGGUGUUUACAAGAUCUGUAGUUCGAUCAUGUCAGAAGCUCACCUAUGAAGAGGCAGAGAAAUUGAUUGAUUGUAGUAGUGAUACACAAUCUAAUGAAUACAUGACUGUUGCUGAUCCUGUUAGGGUCUUAUAUGCGCUGUCAAGACACCGCAGAAUGCAGCGAUUAGGUGAUGGAUGGAUGGUGUACAAUGCAGAUGAUGAUGAUGGGGGUGCACUCUCUCAUCCAUUGGCACACAGCUUGAUAGAAGAACUUAUGCUGAUGACAAAUAAUGCUGUUGCUGAACAUGUUCUUUCCAGUUAUCCUGAUUGUGUUCCAUUGCGUAGACAACUUGCACCAUCGCAAGAUCAGGUUGAGGGAUGGAAAGAAAAUCAUGAGAAGACUGCAAGAAACAGCAUCCGUCUCCCUGAGCUUCUCAAUCAUAACCACAAUGGUGUUGAGAAUGAAGACCAAGGUACAGAAGACAGAGAGGAUGUUGUAGUUGCUGCUGAAGUGUUUGGAAUGGUCAAGCAAUUAUGUGAGUCACAAACGUCAAAAAGUCAUAUGGAGUCUAUUGCUAAUCUCAUUCUUCAGGACGAAAACCACCCUCUGCAUGCGGUGGCUCUGUCUAGCUGCUAUCAGAUCAUGGAAUCUGCAGAAUAUGUCGACUCAACAAGCCAAACCAAGCCAGAGAAGCGAGCACACUAUUCUCUGCAGAUGAGAGCAUACACUCACUUCACAUCACCGAUCAGACGUUUCAUUGACCUUGUUGUGCACAGGUUGCUUGUUGCUUCUAUGGAAAAUCGGCCAUGUCCGUACUCCCCCAGAGAAAUGGCCGACAUCACACAUCAUUGCAACUACCAGAAUGCCAAAAGUAAGCGAUUUGACAAAUCAACGCAAGAACUGAAGAUGGCAUUGAAGUUGAAAGAAGCUCCUCUCCAGGCUACAGCUUUUGUCGAAGGUAUUUCUGAAUCAUCUAUGAAAUUGCUUCUUCCAUAUCGGCGAUAUAUUCAAUCUAGACAAAGGGACAUCCCUUUUAAGUUACUGAAGCCUGCUGAGAAACCUGCUGUAGAAUCUACCAAUGCCCAAGUGGCAUGGAAAUGUCGCAUGUAUGACUACAGCACUAAAUGCCAAGCAGAAUCACCAGUUAGCACAAGAGUCCCAUACCUUGACCUGUCUUACACUAUCCCAGAAGAUAAAUGGCAGCAGAUCUUGCAUUCCAUUAAGUGUAUGUACAUCGAUGGAAACAUAGAGGGAGUCAAGACUGCCAUUGAGGCUGCAGUAAUCCAUGCCCAAGGCAGUGGUAACCCAUUCUCUAAGAGAAGAACCAAUCAGGAUGACGGUCCAGAGAAGAAAGAAAUGGGAAUUAUGAGUUUUCAACGAAACUAUCAAUUGGGUGAGCCCUGCAAGGUCCAGAUGCAUGCACACAUGAUGAAGGGUAUGCUCAGACCAAAGAUACAACUCUUCAACAUGACUUCUCAAUUGGAUGUAUGUGCAGAGCAUCGAGCACAACCCAUCGAGUGCUUCUCAAAAAUAGCUACCGAAAUUCCAGGCAGGGAGAAAAAUGUGAAAACGUACAGGUCAAAGUGGCUUUCAAUCCUGUCUAUGACCUCUUGCUACAGUGCUGUUAGCAACGAUGACACCGUUGUUUUACAGAAUGUUCCAGUCACAUGGCAUAGGGCUUCAAAUGAAGUCACAGGCCACAUUGAGCUAGAUAGGGAAUUCCUUGAAGUGAACCAUAUCCCAAUCUGGGAAACUAAUGAUGGAAUAACAAUAAACAAUUAUGAUUACCUCUGCCUACAUCUGACCAAUCUUGAAGUGGAAACUAAACCUCGUUUGAAAAUGAUGGAGUAUGAUAGAGAGAGACAAGAAUGUCGAGGACCAUUCAAUGCCAGUGACUGGAAGAAGCAAACAGGUGUUGUUCACAGUCAGAUAGUAAAAGGCAAGGAGAGUCAGGAUUGCCGUACUUGCCAGCGACUCACUAGUGAGAAGGCUAUCGUAGUCCAUUUUGUUGUUCAUCAGUUGUCCGUCCCUCUUCCACAAAAGAUCAAUGGUCGUCAUGUUGCAAGCACAGUGGAAUUCAUUUCAAAACCUGAGCCAAAUCGACGAGAAGAAAAAGCUAUUGAUGGUUUAGAUUCUGGAUCAUUGCCUGUGUUGAUUAAAGACAUUGCAUUGCAACGCCCUAAUCGUCCUGAUUGGCAUUCAGAUGAAACCCUUAGAAUCUUAAAAAGAGAAGCCGAGGCCCUGACAGACCUGAAUGUACCAGAAUGUACAUUACCUGCCCUGAAUUCAUCCCAAGGAGCUGCUGUCAAGAAUGCACUACAACAUACAUUCUCUCUCAUUCAAGGGCCCCCUGGCACUGGUAAAACUGUUACUGGAGCGUACCUUGCUUAUUUCUUCACUCGCCUCAAUCAACAAUUACGAGCUGGUAAAAUGCGCCCUCAGGUGUUGUACUGUGGACCAUCAAACAAAUCAGUGGAUGUUGUAGCUGCAUACCUGAAGAAGUUUCCAAACAUCUCUGUCGUGCGAGUCUACAGUGAACAGAUAGAGCGGAAGGACUUUCCCAUCCCUGGUGUUCCAGGACUGGUCUCCAAGUGGUCAAGGAAAGAAUCAUCCAUGCCAGUGGAAAUGAAAGACAUUGCUCUUCAUCACUUGAUCAGGAUGCGUGGGAAGCCACAUGCUGCUGAGCUAGCGGGCUAUGAGAGGAAAUUUCGCACUCGCCCAGAUAGUAUAAGCCCACAGAGCAUAAAAGACUACAAAAGCACCAUUUUUGAGGCCACUAAAGAAGAAUUGCAAAACCAUCACAUAGUCCUGAGUACCUGCAAUGCUGCUGGAGCACGACGUAUCUCAAGACUGACGCGUGUCAUCCAGGUGAUUGUGGAUGAAGCUGGUAUGUGCAGUGAGCCAGAGACUAUGAUCCCUCUGGUUUCAGUGAAACCUAAUCAAGUGGUAUUAGUUGGAGAUCAUCAACAGCUUAGGUCGAUAAUCACAGAACCCAAUGCCAAGCAGCUUGGAAUGGAUAUUUCUCUGCUCGAAAAAUACAAGGAUAAAGCCAAGAUGCUCACUAUUCAGUACAGAAUGCACGAGCGGAUAUGUGAAUUUCCAUCAUCUGCGUUUUAUGACAACAAACUGGAGACAGCAGAAUCGGUGAGGCGUCGCAGUCUUGACCCUAUCAGGAGGAUAUGGCCCAAUAAUGGAAAUACACCUCGAGUGUUUUGUCAUGUUAAUGGGCAAGAGGAAACCCUUUCAGUAAAGACAGAAGAAGGCAACGAACAGUCAAAGAGCAACGGUGCUGAAAUUAAACAUGUGAUGAGAAUUGUCCGAGCAUUGAUCAGCAUGAAGGUAUCACCUGCUGAGAUAAUCAUCCUGUCUCAGUAUCGUCUCCAGUGUGCGCAAAUUGAAGAGAGGCUCCAAAAAGACAGGGAUCGACGUCUUCAACAAGUCAAAGUCAGCACAGUGGUUAAAAGUCAAGGGAGUGAAUGGGACUAUGUAAUCUUCUCAACAGUUCGCUCUAAACCUCGGAUUGAGAUUGAAGAGAAGCCAAGCAGAGGGUGGCAGAGAAAACAUCUGGGUUUCAUCAAUGAUGAGAACCAGAUGAAUGUGGCUUUGACAAGAGCCAAGAGAGGUCUUAUCAUCAUAGCGAAAUUCGACCCUCUUUCCCUACCGCUCCACGACCGCUCCAACAACGCUCGGGCGGUGUGACCAGGCCUUUACCUAGGAACUGUUGCUAUACGAGAAGAGGUCAGGUUGGCACCCCCUGCUAAAAAUGGUACCCAGUACCUGCUACGAUGCCAUCAGAGAUGGAAGGAAAUGCUUAAGAAGU